RNAcentral lists this ribosomal RNA (520 nucleotides) under Lacticaseibacillus casei. RNAcentral's name for it is "bacterial SSU rRNA". It matches the Rfam family "Bacterial small subunit ribosomal RNA", at positions 337 to 848 of the family's 1533-position model. Lineage: Bacteria; Bacillati; Bacillota; Bacilli; Lactobacillales; Lactobacillaceae. The record is from RNAcentral.
CUUUACGGGGGGGCACAGUAGGGAAUCUUCCACAAUGGACGCAAGUCUGAUGGAGCAACGCCGCGUGAGUGAAGAAGGCUUUCGGGUCGUAAAACUCUGUUGUUGGAGAAGAAUGGUCGGCAGAGUAACUGUUGUCGGCGUGACGGUAUCCAACCAGAAAGCCACGGCUAACUACGUGCCAGCAGCCGCGGUAAUACGUAGGUGGCAAGCGUUAUCCGGAUUUAUUGGGCGUAAAGCGAGCGCAGGCGGUUUUUUAAGUCUGAUGUGAAAGCCCUCGGCUUAACCGAGGAAGCGCAUCGGAAACUGGGAAACUUGAGUGCAGAAGAGGACAGUGGAACUCCAUGUGUAGCGGUGAAAUGCGUAGAUAUAUGGAAGAACACCAGUGGCGAAGGCGGCUGUCUGGUCUGUAACUGACGCUGAGGCUCGAAAGCAUGGGUAGCGAACAGGAUUAGAUACCCUGGUAGUCCAUGCCGUAAACGAUGAAUGCUAGGUGUUGGAGGGUUUCCGCCCUUCAGUGCCG